AAUGACUCUCGACAACGGAUAUCUCGGCUCUUGCAUCGAUGAAGAACGUAGCGAAAUGCGAUACUUGGUGUGAAUUGCAGAAUCUCGUGAACCAUCGAGUCUUUGAACGCAAAUUGCGCCCGAAGCCAUUAGGACGAGGGCACGUCUGCCUGGGUGUCAUGC
RNAcentral lists this ribosomal RNA (162 nucleotides) under Ducrosia assadii. Its description in RNAcentral is "5.8S ribosomal RNA". It matches the Rfam family "5.8S ribosomal RNA". From Rfam's summary of the family: 5.8S ribosomal RNA (5.8S rRNA) is a component of the large subunit of the eukaryotic ribosome. The record is from RNAcentral. Lineage: Eukaryota; Viridiplantae; Streptophyta; Magnoliopsida; Apiales; Apiaceae.